AACGAACGCUGGCGGCAUGCCUAACACAUGCAAGUCGAACGAGACCUUCGGGUCUAGUGGCGCACGGGUGCGUAACGCGUGGGAACCUGCCCUUAGGUUCGGAAUAACUCCCCGAAAGGGGUGCUAAUACCGGAUAAUGUCUUCGGACCAAAGAUUUAUCGCCUUUGGAUGGGCCCGCGUUGGAUUAGCUAGUUGGUAGGGUAAAAGCCUACCAAGGCGACGAUCCAUAGCUGGUCUGAGAGGAUGAUCAGCCACACUGGGACUGAGACACGGCCCAGACUCCUACGGGAGGCAGCAGUGGGGAAUAUUGGACAGUGGGCGAAAGCCUGAUCCAGCAAUGCCGCGUGAGUGAUGAAGGCCUUAGGGUUGUAAAGCGCUUUUACCCGGGAUGAUAAUGACAGUACCGGGAGAAUAAGCCCCGGCUAACUCCGUG
RNAcentral lists this ribosomal RNA (433 nucleotides) under uncultured bacterium. Its description in RNAcentral is "partial 16S ribosomal RNA". It matches the Rfam family "Bacterial small subunit ribosomal RNA", at positions 29 to 507 of the family's 1533-position model. The record is from RNAcentral.